AUCCUAUUUAUAAGCAAUUAAAAAGAAAAUCCAGUCAGCACCUUCAAAUUUAAACAGUUCUCAAUUACCAUACACUGAACUGUGCUGAUGUUCACUCGUGCAAACAUAAAUGUGCACCUGACACUUCAGUAACUUCACUAUGUGUUGCCAGCACCCUUUUAUUGUACAGAAUUCAAAGAUAGGAGCUUGAGGAUUUAGAGCAAAGAGAAGAAUGAUGCCUAUAACCAAGAAGCUUAUCAGCCAUCGAGAAAGCAAUGGCAAGUUCAUGAAUUACCACAAACCUAAGGCCACACAGUGCCUGCGAGCUCAGUGGACAAUUAACUGGGUCUUUACUUUGUAGCUCAGCCCCGGCCUCCUGAAUACUGACGAAUGAAUGGUGGGACUGCAGGGAUCCACUACCAUGUAUACCCACAAAGGCAACUACUGGAUAAUCAAGAGGCAACAAAAAUAUUAAUAAAAACUAAUCAGCCCAUGGUAAA
This is a non-coding RNA of Rattus norvegicus (Norway rat), 479 nucleotides long. The record is from RefSeq and is a predicted model, not a curated record. NCBI's taxonomy places the organism in Eukaryota, Metazoa, Chordata, Mammalia, Rodentia, Muridae.